GCUAUUUUCUUUGACCGGAUAUCGCAUGCUUCGUCUGUUACGAUCGCUAAGGAAACCGGAUGCAGGAGUAAACGUGUGUUUUUAGGCCUGCGGGACAAUCUUCGCUCUUAGGAUGGGAAAAAUAUAACGAGACCACAUUUCGAUAGGAAUUAUGCGCAAUCCGUUUGCCAAUAAUAUCGACGAUGUCGCGGCAUACCUCGUCUAAUGCUAGAAAAUUGUCAAUUGUAUUAUUGGAUUUCCUACAUUAUUUAACCCAUCGGUAUUUAACCGGGCCAUUAAUAAAAAAAAAUUCCUUAUGUUAUUCGAUCGAGCCAUUCGAUUAUACCGGCUAUAUUAAAUAUAUGCAAUUUACUCGUAUAUACGCGAUUAUAUAAAUGAAUUAUCGCACUGUGUACAAACGAAGCAGAAUCCCUAUUUCGUUAUAUUUUGUGUUCUUCUGCAUGUACCGACUUUCGAGGUGUAUCCCCUCGGAAUAAACAGUCGAUCGUUCUAAUUGGCACAAAAUUUUAUUGUGGUAUUUGGCUUUCUUUGCGAGAUAAGAGGAAAAAAACCCGAUAAUUACGGGGAAAAAGAAAUUUUUCCGAUUCGUUCGGCGCUUAUGAGCCUCAUUUCUUCGGAUGGUUGCGCCGCCGAAAUCUUUUUGUUCCGGGAUUGUCUCCGUUUCAUUCAGGGGUCUUCAUCUUGUCGUGGCGGGGAAAAUGCGUCAAUCGUCACGGAUAACAGGCGGUGGACCUGGAACCACCGACACCUAAAAAAUUAUAGGCUAGAAACGAAAAUAUUCCUGUGCCUUUUUUUACCUCGAUUGUUUCUCUGGCCUCUUCUUCCUCUGCAUCGUACGGAUUGAUGUCGAAGAACGGAUCGGCACUGGGGCCUUCUUCCGCUUCGACACCAAUCGGCCGGAGCUCCGUGGGUUCCUUUCCGGGGCCUCCGUAAACGCGGCCCGCGUCCUCCAGAAAUUUGCGGAAUUUUCCGCCACAUGUGUCGGGCAUACCGACAGGAUCCGACCUCUAUACGUGUAUUCACAUAUGUAUUGUUGUAGGAUCCUGUCGAUAGGCAGGGAUUUUAAUUUCCUGAAAAAAUAAUAGGCAUUUGUUAUAUAUGAGGGUCGUGUCAUAGCGAGACGCCGAAAGUUACAAUGACAUUUCUGUCGGCGGCUAUAGCUUACCUUCAGAUAUCUAUUUCUGAUUUCUAUGUUGUGUGUUUGGUCGCUCGGAUUGGACACCGACACAAAUCUAUAAAACACAGAGACGGUUACGAGCCCGUUUAGCCAAUUCUUGCAAGCAUUUAACGGACAAGAGAAUCCGCUCUAUUCUUACCUCACGGGUCCUUUUGUGCUAUGAUUCACAAACUUGGCCGAAAUACCCAACUGUUCGCAACCGGUAUACUGUGGAGCCGCAUCGCUGACGAUGAUAGAACCACGCUCUAUGGCCCGAUUUCAGAGAAGUGGUCUAGACCACCUCUCUAGUGUAGAACUGGUUUAGGCCGAGGUUUUUAGAAAAUCGCAUUUCAUAAAGGUGGUUUAGAUUUAAACCUGGUCUAGAUUCAGUACAAAAACUGGUUUUAGACCUUGAUUUCUAGACCUGCCUAGAGGCUGGUCUAAACUGAGUCUGAACUUUUGAGCAUGCGCAGUUCGGACAAAAAUCUAUUAGCGUA
RNAcentral lists this long non-coding RNA (1653 nucleotides) under Androctonus crassicauda. The record is from RNAcentral. Lineage: Eukaryota; Metazoa; Arthropoda; Arachnida; Scorpiones; Buthidae.